This is a long non-coding RNA of Hibiscus syriacus, 270 nucleotides long. RefSeq lists it as uncharacterized. Lineage: Eukaryota; Viridiplantae; Streptophyta; Magnoliopsida; Malvales; Malvaceae. The transcript is spliced from 2 exons. The record is from RefSeq and is a predicted model, not a curated record.
GUUCCAAUAAAUGUAUGCCAGUGGUUCAUAGACUACCAUCCCGUUUCAACGGGAAAACAAGAGAUCGAGCAUGCAUACGAGUUCGUAAAAAAGAAAUUCGAGGAGUUAUAUUUUCAAAGCUCCGGCCCUGAUCGAGUAGACCGAGGUCUUUAAGAUACAGGACCAAUGCUCUUGACCAGAAGCUUGUGAAGAAAACUUUCAAGCUCGUUGACGAGUCUUUGAGACGGAGAGAUCUAUUCGAGGCCGGGUUGUUGUGAACGAUGGCAAAGA